This 639-nucleotide ribosomal RNA is filed under the name uncultured bacterium. RNAcentral's name for it is "bacterial SSU rRNA". It matches the Rfam family "Bacterial small subunit ribosomal RNA", at positions 232 to 885 of the family's 1533-position model. The record is from RNAcentral.
CGCGGCCUAUCAGCUUGUUGGUGAGGUAACGGCUCACCAUGGCAUCGACGGGUAGCUGGUCUGAGAGGAUGAUCAGCCACACUGGAACUGAGACACGGUCCAGACUCCUACGGGAGGCAGCAGUGGGGAAUAUUGCACAAUGGGCGCAAGCCUGAUGCAGCAACGCCGCGUGCGGGAAGAAGGCCCUAGGGUUGUAAACCGCUUUCAGCAGGGAAGAAAAUGACGGUACCUGCAGAAGAAGGUGCGGCCAACUACGUGCCAGCAGCCGCGGUGACACGUAGGCACCAAGCGUUGUCCGGAUUUAUUGGGCGUAAAGAGCUCGUAGGCGGUUCAGUAAGUCGGGUGUGAAAACUCUGGGCUCAACCCAGAGACGCCACUCGAUACUGCUGUGACUUGAGUACGGUAGGGGAGCGGGGAAUUCCUGGUGUAGCGGUGAAAUGCGCAGAUAUCAGGAGGAACACCAGUGGCGAAGGCGCCGCUCUGGGCCGUAACUGACGCUGAGGAGCGAAAGCAUGGGUAGCAAACAGGAUUAGAUACCCUGGUAGUCCACGCCGUAAACGUUGGGCACUAGGUGUGGGUUCCAUCCAACGGGAUCCGUGCCGUAGCUAACGCAUUAAGUGCCCCGCCUGGGGAGUACGG